AUCUGGGCACCAAUGCCAUAUUCUCGUGAAUCGACAGGCAGUCCCAGCUCUUCAUUUGCUUCAACCGUAUCACGCCCAGCAUCCUGUAGGUUGUAAGCCCGAAGCUUGUGACCCAAACCAAUGCCCCUUCCUUCAUGCCCACGGAGGUAGAUCAGCACACCCCUGCCAGCAGCCUCAAUCUGCUGCAUUGCAAGUGCCAGCUGGUUCCCACAGUCGCAUCUGGCAGAACCAAAUAUGUCUCCUGUGAGGCACUCUGAAUGUACCCUCACAAGAAUAUCCUGCCCAUCUCCAAUCUCACCCUUAACCAUUGCAAUAUGUUCAAUGCCAUCUAAUAUUGAUCUAUAACAGUAGGCUGUAAAUGGACCCCACAUGGUUGGUAUCUGAGCAGCAGAAGAACAAUCAACUAAUUUCUCUCUCUUCCUCCUAUACCUGAUUAAAUCAGCAAUAGAUAUAAUUUUUAAAUUCUCCUGCUGCGCAAAUUGACGAAGCUUUGGCAAUCUAGCCAUGGAGCCAUCAUCAUCCACAAUCUCGCACAGAACUGCAACAGGGUCCAAUCCAGCUAGAACAGCAAGAUCAACAGAAGCUUCUGUAUGUCCAGCUCUUUUCAAAACACCACCAUCUCUGUACCUCAAUGGGAAAAUAUGGCCUGGCCGGUUGAAGUCUUCAGGUUUUGAGUCCCUGGAUGCAAGAGCUAACACUGUUGUUGCCCUGUCACGGGCUGAGACCCCUGUGGUUGUACCGUGUUUUGCAUCCACUGUCACUGUGAAUGCAGUACGAAGUUUUUCAUCAUUUUCAUUUUGGUUGACCAUCAAAGGGAGUUGCAACCUGUCAAGAUAUUCCCCGGCCAUGCUCACACAAACUAUUCCAGUACC
This 872-nucleotide unclassified non-coding RNA is filed under the name Hevea brasiliensis (rubber tree). The record is from RNAcentral. Lineage: Eukaryota; Viridiplantae; Streptophyta; Magnoliopsida; Malpighiales; Euphorbiaceae.